AUGAAGGGGGACGAUCUGUCGGAGGAGGACCUCGAGCUCAAGGCGCGUCUCGAGGAUUGCGUGGAGCGGGCGCAGAGCCGCGACCCCCGCCUCCGGAUAGGCGCCAUCGACACCCUGAGGAAAGAGAUUCGUGCGGCGACAAGCUCAAUGACGUCUGUCCCGAAACCACUCAAAUUCCUCCGUGCACACUACGGAACUCUCAAGGAUUGUUUUCAGAGAAUGCGGGAUCCUGCACAGAAGAAACAUAUGGCUGACAUUCUGUCAGUAUUGGCCUUGACAGCGUCUGCUGAAGGAGAAAGGGAAAGCCUCAAGUACUGUAUGAUGGGCUCUUUAGUUGAUAUAUGUUCAUGGGGUCAUGUAUACGUGAGAAACUUGGCUUUUGAAAUUGGAAAAGAGUGGAAGGACAAUGGCUCAUCAACGCCAAUUGAAUCCAAGAUAGAACUAGUGCUGGAAAUUGUCAAAUUUCACAUGAAGCAUAAUGCUGAAACUGAAGCUCUGGAUCUUUUGAUGGAGGUUGGAUACCUUGAGAUGCUUUUCGACGAAAAAUAUGAAGAGUACCUUGCAAGGCUAUUUUGUCUUGUUGACUUUACCAACUACAAAAGGGCAUGCUUGUAUUUGACUACUUCUUCUAAAUACCUUUUGACUCCUGACCGUGAGGCCUAUGAGGCCACACUUUACAUUGCCUUUGGCAUGUAUGGGAAGUUUAGGGAUCUUGCAAGUGCUUUGCGGAUUGUGCUUUUGGUCAACGACGACAAGUGUUGUGAUCAGAGUGUGAAGAUUGUAUUUGCAGAAACUGAAGAUUUCUCCCUGAAGCAGCAACUCGCAUUUAUGAUAGCACGCUAUGGUUUAAGCAUGGAGGUUGAUGAUGAGAUGGUUGCAGAUGAAAAUGAGAAGAAUGCUUUGCAGGAAGUAGUUAAUAACACCAAACUGAGUGAGGGGUACCAUAUGCUUGCGCGGGAUAUUGGUGUCAUGGAGCCAAAAUCUCCAGAGGACAUAUAUAAGGUUCAUCUGAUUGGCGGUCAAGGUGCCAAAAGCUCCAGCCUUGAUUCUGCAAGACAAAAUUUGGCCGCAACUUUUGUCAAUGCAUUUGUGAAUGCUGGUUAUUGCCAGGACAAACUCAUGACUGCAAUUUCAGAUUCUUCUGAAAAUUUACUAUUCAAGAAGAACGAACUUGGGAAAGCCAGUGCAGUAGCUAGUCUGGGAAUGAUACAUCUAUGGGAUCAUGAUUCAGGAUUUGCCAUACUUGACAAGUACCUGCAGAGCGAUGAUACUCAUGUCGUUGCAGGGGCUUUGUUAGGCAUAGGAAUUGUCUCUUGUGGUGUGAAGAAUGACUAUGAUCCUGCACUUGCUCUUAUUUCUGGGUAUAGCACGAGUGCAGCAUCAAUUACACGUAUCGGUGCAAUCUUGGGCCUUGGUAUUGCUUAUGCUGGGUCCCGGAAAGACAAGCUUAAAUCGUUGUUCUUAAUUACCUUGAGUGACUCCCAAGCACCUUUGGGGGACUUAGUGUUCUCUGCCAUCUCCUUGGGAUUGGUGUUUGUUGGUUCCUGCAACGAAGAGAUUGCACAGUCAAUCAUAUCUGUUUUGAAAAAUCUUAUUAAAGCAGAGCUUGCAGAUCCCAUUAUUCGUCUGCUUCCACUUUCCAUUGGCCUUCUAUAUCUUGGAAAACAGGAGGGGCCGAAGGCUAACGUUGUUAAGGUUUCUGAAACAUUUGAUGAAAUAAUGAAGGAGGUUUCUAAAACAUUUGAUAAAAUAAUGAAGGACUAUUGGAAUAUAACUCUUAUGUCUUUGGCAUAUGCUGGGACAGGGAAUGUGCUUAAGGUUCAGGAGCUCCUUAGUAUCUGCUCAAAAAAGGAAGGUGGAAGUCACCAAGGGCCAGCAGUACUGGGAAUUGCUCUUAUUGCCAUGGCUGAAGAAUUAGGAAUUGAAAUGGCUGUACGGUCCCUUGAGCAACUUUUUAAGUAUGGUGAUUAUAAUAUUAGAAGAGCGGUUCCUCUUGCUCUUGGCAUGCUCUACAUAUCCAAUCCAAAGGUAGACGUUGUGGACACACUGAGUAGACUGAGCAAUGAUCCGGACGGUCAAGUAAUGAUGGCUGCAACCAUCUCACUUGGUUUGAUAGGUGCUGGUACAAACAAUGCACGCAUAGCCGCGUUGCUUCGUAACCUCUCAAGUCAGGAACAUGGCGUUUACCUGUUUUGUGUGAGGAUUGCCCAGGGUCUUGUUCACCUUGGGAAGGGCUUGCUGACACUUGCCCCAUACCACUCUGACCGGCUACUUCUAUCCCCCGUAGCACUAGCUGGGCUAGUAACCGUUAUGCACGCAUGCCUUAACAUGCAAUCCACCAUCCUCGGAGAGUAUCCCUACAUGCUGUACAUCCUUUCCCUUGCUAUGCAGCCUAGGAUGUUACUGACCGUGGAUGAGGAUCUCAAGCCCCUCCAUGUGCCUGUUUGUGUCGGCCAAGCAGUUGACGUGGUCGGUCAGGCAGGAAGUCCCAGGACCAUCACUGGCUUCCACACGCACAACACGCCUGUACUGCUCGCUGCAGGGGAACGAGCUGAGCUAGCAACUGAAGAAUAUAUUCCGCUGACACCAAUUCUUGAGGGCUUUGUGAUCCUGAGGAAGAACCCAGAGCAUCAUGAAGAUUGA
This 2643-nucleotide ribosomal RNA is filed under the name Triticum aestivum (bread wheat). Its description in RNAcentral is "partial small subunit ribosomal RNA". Lineage: Eukaryota; Viridiplantae; Streptophyta; Magnoliopsida; Poales; Poaceae. The record is from RNAcentral.